This 316-nucleotide long non-coding RNA is filed under the name Homo sapiens (human). RNAcentral describes it as "HSALNT0395746". The record is from RNAcentral. Lineage: Eukaryota; Metazoa; Chordata; Mammalia; Primates; Hominidae.
GGGAGGCCGGGAGGGGUCCCUGGGCGGGGAGUUGCUGCGCAUCUGUUGUGUGUGUGCGUCUGUCUGUCUGUUCAGGUCUGUUUUAGGCUGUGUCUGUCUGUCUGUCUGGGUCUGUUUCAGGCUGUGUCUGUCUGUCUGUCCGGGUCUGUUUCAGGCUGUGUCUGUCUGUCUGUCCGGGUCUGUUUCAGGCUGUGUCUGUCUGUCUGUCCGGGUCUGUUUCAGGCUGUGUCUGUCUGUCUGUCCGGGUCUGUUUCAGGCUGUAUGUGUGUCUGCUCUUUGCUUCUGCUCCUGGCUCUGUGUGUAUUUCCCGGGUCCU